UUUUCUCAGCAAAAAUAGAUUUUAUUAAUAAAAUGCCACUGAAUCAGUGGCAAAAGAGAGACCAAACACCAGGGCAAAAUCCCACUCCAAAACAAAAUACAACACCAGAAGUAAAAGAAAAACAAAAACACAAAAUAAAACUAAGACAAAAUCUCGAAACAAGAUACAAGAAAAAUGCCUCGCCAAAACACAACUAGCAAACAAAGACAACAGAUAAAGCCGAAAUUCUACCACCGGGCUCAGAAUAGAACCAGUAAAUACAUUCCAUCUUUCGCCAGCGCAUCUGCAAUCCCUCCUUAUUAAUGUAUUAGUUUUGCUUUAAACGCCUCCCUAAAACACAAAACCAGCAAACAAAGACAACAAAUAAAAUUGAAAUUUCACCUCCUGGCUCAAAAUAGAAGGAAAAUACAUUUCCUCUUUCGCCAGCGCAUCCACAAUUCCAUCAAUAUCCUUUGUGAGAUAGCAAAAUUAAAGCAUUCUGAAUGACCUUGAACCCAAUCCACAACAAUUGACAUCAACAAUAUGAUCAGAGACACCGCAGACCCCAAACACAGCAGCCAUUCCAAAGAUACCAAAAUUAAACGGCAAGCCUAAACAACUCCGAUUGGUUAGAGAGAAACAAGAUUUGAUCUCAAAGGCAAGUUUCGGGAUCUAAGCUUCUUGCUAUAGAGAGAGAAGAGGCAAAGGGCAGAGUGAAAGUGUUUGGUAUCCUUGGCAGCCUUGAGGGUAACAAACGUGGAUAUUGAUGUGCUAGAUAAAAUAGCCUUGGGAAUUUGUAUCCUUUCUGAAGGUGGG
RNAcentral lists this long non-coding RNA (795 nucleotides) under Gossypium barbadense (sea-island cotton). RNAcentral describes it as "long non-coding RNA (GBAR_LNC021627)". Lineage: Eukaryota; Viridiplantae; Streptophyta; Magnoliopsida; Malvales; Malvaceae. The record is from RNAcentral.